RNAcentral lists this ribosomal RNA (207 nucleotides) under uncultured bacterium. RNAcentral's name for it is "partial 16S ribosomal RNA". It matches the Rfam family "Bacterial small subunit ribosomal RNA", at positions 568 to 774 of the family's 1533-position model. The record is from RNAcentral.
CGCGUAGGUGGCGCGGGUAGUCGUCGUUGAAAGCUCAGGGCUCAACCCUGAGUCGGCCGGUGAUACUCCCGUGCUCGAGUGUGGUAGAGGCCAAUGGAAUUCCGGGUGUAGCGGUGGAAUGCGUAGAGAUCCGGAAGAACACCGGUGGCGAAGGCGGUUGGCUGGGCCACAACUGACACUGAUGCGCGACAGCGUGGGGAGCAAACA